This 482-nucleotide ribosomal RNA is filed under the name uncultured bacterium. RNAcentral describes it as "partial 16S ribosomal RNA". It matches the Rfam family "Bacterial small subunit ribosomal RNA", at positions 30 to 507 of the family's 1533-position model. The record is from RNAcentral.
AUUGAACGCUGGCGGCAUGCCUUACACAUGCAAGUCGAACGGUAACAGGUCUUCGGAUGCUGACGAGUGGCGAACGGGUGAGUAAUACAUCGGAACGUGCCCAGACGUGGGGGAUAACGAGGCGAAAGCUUUGCUAAUACCGCAUACGAUCUAAGGAUGAAAGCAGGGGACCGCAAGGCCUUGUGCGUUUGGAGCGGCCGAUGGCAGAUUAGGUAGUUGGUGGGAUAAAAGCUUACCAAGCCGACGAUCUGUAGCUGGUCUGAGAGGACGACCAGCCACACUGGGACUGAGACGCGGCCCAGACUCCUACGGGAGGCAGCAGUGGGGAAUUUUGGACAAUGGGCGAAAGCCUGAUCCAGCAAUGCCGCGUGCAGGAUGAAGGCCUUCGGGUUGUAAACUGCUUUUGUACGGAACGAAAAGGCUCUGGCUAAUACCUGGGGCACAUGACGGUACCGUAAGAAUAAGCACCGGCUAACUACGUG